AGGAUGAACGCUGGCGGCGUGCCUAAUACAUGCAAGUCGAACGAAGAGUGUUAGCUUCGGUUGAUAACUCUUAGUGGCGAACGGGUGAGUAACGCGUUGGUGACCUGCCCCGAAGAGGGGGAUAACAGCUCGAAAGGGCUGCUAAUACCCCAUGUGGUGCUAGAGGUUAGAGGCUCUAGCAAGAAAGGAGAACCCGCUUCGGGAGGGGCCUGCGUCCCAUCAGCUAGUUGGUAAGGUAAAGGCCUACCAAGGCGAAGACGGGUAGGGGACCUGAGAGGGUGACCCCCCACAAUGGAACUGAAACACGGUCCAUACACCUACGGGUGGCAGCAGUAGGGAAUAUUGCACAAUGGGCGAAAGCCUGAUGCAGCAACGCCGCGUGCACGAUGAAGGCCCUCGGGUCGUAAAGUGCUUUUCUGAGGGAAGAGAAAGGACGGUACCUCAGGAAUAAGUCUCGGCUAACUACGUGCCAGCAGCCGCGGUAACACGUAGGAGGCAAACGUUAUCCGGAUUUACUGGGCGUAAAGCGCGUGUAGGCGGUUUGGUAAGUUGGAUGUGAAAGCUCCUGGCUCAACUGGGAGAGGUCGUUCAAUACUGCCGAAGUAGAGGACGGUAGAGGAAAGUGGAAUUCCCGGUGUAGUGGUGAAAUGCGUAGAUAUCGGGAGGAACACCAGUGGCGAAGGCGACGCGCUGGGCUGUACUUGACGCUAAGACGCGAAAGCUAGGGUAGCAAACGGGAUUAGAAACCCCGGUAGUCCUAGCCGUAAACGAUGUGAACUUGGUGUUGGUGGGGUAAAAGCCAUCAGUGCCGAAGCUAACGCGAUAAGUCUGCCGCCUGGGGACUACGAUCGCAAGAUUAAAACUCAAAGGAAUUGACGGGGACCCGCACAAGCAGCGGAGCGUGUGGUUUAAUUCGAGGCUACGCGAAGAACCUUACCUGGGCUUGACAUAUAGGUGGUAGAGAAGCGAAAGUGGACCGACCCUUCGGGGAGCCUUCACAGGUGUUGCAUGGCUGUCGUCAGCUCGUGCCGUGAGGUGUCCGGUUAAGUCCGGUAACGAGCGCAACCCUUGCCGUAUGUUAUACGUGUCAUACGGGACUGCCGGAUAAAGCCGGAGGAAGGUGGGGAUGACGUCAAGUCAGCAUGGCCUUUAUGUCCGGGGCUACACACACGCUACAAUGGCCAGCACAAUAGGUAGCAAGACCGCGAGGUGGAGCCAAUCCAUAAAGCUGGUCUCAGUUCAAAUUGCAGGCUGCAACUCCCUUGCAUGAAAUCGGAUUUCUAGUACCGCGCGU
Molecule: ribosomal RNA, 1294 nt
Filed under: uncultured prokaryote
Description: partial 16S ribosomal RNA
Rfam family: Bacterial small subunit ribosomal RNA
Source: RNAcentral